CCGAGUGAAGCUCCGUUGGUAGAGCGAUUGACUGUAGUGUUCUAUACUGUGUUUCAGUAUUCUCGGAAAUCAAUUGGUCGCUGGUUCGAUUCCGGCCACUCGGA
Transfer RNA from Phytophthora infestans T30-4, 104 nucleotides. It matches the Rfam family "tRNA". From Rfam's summary of the family: Transfer RNA (tRNA) molecules are approximately 80 nucleotides in length. Their secondary structure includes four short double-helical elements and three loops (D, anti-codon, and T loops). Further hydrogen bonds mediate the characteristic L-shaped molecular structure. tRNAs have two regions of fundamental functional importance: the anti-codon, which is responsible for specific mRNA codon recognition, and the 3' end, to which the tRNAs corresponding amino acid is attached (by aminoacyl-tRNA synthetases). tRNAs cope with the degeneracy of the genetic code in two manners: having more than one tRNA (with a specific anti-codon) for a particular amino acid; and 'wobble' base-pairing, i.e. permitting non-standard base-pairing at the 3rd anti-codon position. The record is from Rfam. NCBI's taxonomy places the organism in Eukaryota, Oomycota, Peronosporomycetes, Peronosporales, Peronosporaceae.